GUCGGCUCCCGAGAGCCAGCGGAGACCCCUGCCCUCCUCCGGACAACGCGGCGAGGUCCAGCCCUCGCCGGGCCGUGCGGGUCCCUGCCGGGGGCGCUCUGAGCUCCCGCCUCCGCGGACGCCCUGAGCCUUUCGGAGUCGCCUUGAGGAGGAGACGCAGCUCGUCAUGAGCUCCCAGAGCCACCCAGGUAAGCUGGGCCCCGUGCCCCCCACAAAGGCUCCCCGGCAGCAACGAAGGCCCCACGGAGACGCGGGCCUGGUCUCCGCCUUGGCUCGCGAGCCGCCGUGUGUGCAGGUCACCUGGGCUCUGGGGGUGCCUUUCCUCUCCAGCCGCUUUGUGUCUGGAGGCCAGGGGUGGGGGCGGCACUGACUCUGGGCCGGGCCUCGGGCCGAGUCUGAGAAGGAACACGAUUGGUGCCCAUCGGUGGUGGCCACGGGCAUCACUCCUGGUGCCCAAGGCCUUUAUUCGGUGCUGUGCCAAGCAUCUUAACUGCAUUGAGUGUUACAGGCCUGCCACCUGGUCGGGAGCAGUGAUUCGUCUGAGGUCACAGAGCUAGUAGGUGGCCGAUGGGAUCAGAACCGUGGUUGUGUGGCUUUUGGCUUCCCAGGUGUGUUGUGGACACGCCCUGGGGACUUCUCCUGCCCCCUCAAGGUCACAGAGCACCCUCCCAUGAAGCGGGGGACCCCACCUUGUCCCGCCUGCUGGACCGCCUCCUGGCCACUGGCGCUGUGCUGCCCAGGCUGCUGCCACGGCCAGCACAGUGUGGUCUCCGGGGCGCUCCGAUGUCAGUCUGUCCUGCGUCCUCCUGCCAGGUGCUGGGCGUGCUUGAGGCGCCUGCACCCAUGUGGCUCGGGCUCCGGCUCAGCGGGGGUCGGGCUUGGCCUGGUCUCUCCCUGGGGAUCGGUGUCCACACGUGCAGCCCCUGUCCUUGGGCCCACGGGAGUGGUCUGCCUCGCGAGAGCCGGAUUCCGGUUCAGUGUAGGUGGGUUGAUCGCCGGAGGAGCAGGGCGGGUGGAAGUCCGGGUGGAAGCGUGUAAGGUGUUCCCGGACAGCGCCCAGCCGUCUCCCUCUGGUGCCCCCCACCCCGGGCCUAGACAGCAGGGCCAGUCACGCGCUCUCUGUGGGGUUCUGCGUCUUACCUUCCUUUUCAUUUCAGUGCGUUCGGAGCAUCUGUUGAUGUCGGUUUGUGCAUAGAACAAACUUGUUUGGGUAGCUCGCUGUGGUGGCGGCAGUGGACACAUCAGCCCACACUGGCCUCGCACAGGCAUCAUCCGUCUGUUGGGAACGUGCACAUCCCUCGGUAUCUCCGUGGGUUCACACGCAGCGGAAUUCCCAGGUCGGUGGGCAGGUGCGUUUAACGCUUGACGCGCCCUCUCACUUUGCUCCGGCAGCUCUGUCUCAGCGUCUCCGUCCUGGUGUGCGAGCAGCCGUCUGUCCUUCCUUUGCACCAGCACUCGGGGGACUCAGGCUCUUUCCUGCUUGUCAGCGGGCUGGGGAGAGUGAUGCUUGGAAUUUACGUUACUGGGGGUGCGGGCGGACGUUUCCGUAUGAGCAGCUCUAGACACGGUCACCUCUCAAACACGCCACCAGGCGCUCGAGGAAAGAGAAUGCCCGUCCCCGCUAGUUUCGUCUUUGGUCUGACGCAGUCCUAGGAGCUCCCAUUAUGGCUCGGUGGUUACGAACCCAGCUAGUGUCCAUGAGGAUGCAAGUUCGAUCCCUGGCCUCGCUCCAUGGGUUACGGGUCGGCGUUGCUGUGAGCUGCGGCAUAAGUCACAGACGCGGCUCAGAUCCCGUGUUAGUGUGGCUGUGGUGUAGACUGGCGGCUGUAGCUCCAGUGGGACCCUGGCCUGGGAACCUCUAUAUGUCGCAAGUGCAGCCCUUAAGGAAAGCAAUCUACAGCGUACAUCAGCGGUUCAGAAAUACGCAGUUGACCCAGGAAUAGCACAGGGGCCACUUGCACGUCCGUGUGUCGUUUACAGUGGGCCCUCUGCAUCUGUGGCUGAUUCCGUGAUCUCGUGCCCGAGGCGGCCCCCGGCCUCGGGCGGUGGAGCUGCUUUAAGCAAAUCCGCCGUGAGUGGGUCCUCGCAGUCCAAGCCCCUGUUCCUCAAGGUCCAGUUGACGUCUGUGUAGGAGAACAUGAAUUUUUCUAUUGUUCCCAGUUGGUCCUUUUUCUGUCGGUACCAAGUGAAUCGCGUUGUUUCAAUCGCUGGAGCUUUGCUGUUUCUUGUCUCCUUGUUUUCUAGAGAAGUGUGUGCUUUCUACUCUAUUGUUUGUAAUAUUCUUUUCACAAAAAGACCAUUUUAUGGGCUGUUUUUUGCUUUCUGUAUUCCAGUGUGUUUUCCGCUGCUUCAAAACUAUGGACUGUCGGGAGUUCCUGUUGUGGCUCAGCUGGUUAAGGACCUGGUUUUGUCUCUGUGAGGAUGUAGGUUCAAUCCCUGGCCUUGCUCUGGGGGUUAAAGACUCGGUGUUGGCGUGGCUUUGGUGAGGGUGGCAGAUGUGGCUUGGCUCUGGCGUGGCUGUGGCUGUGGUGUAGACCGGCAGCUGCAGCUCUGAUCCAGCCCCUAGCCUGGGAACCUCCAUAUGCUACAGGUGUGGCCC
RNAcentral lists this long non-coding RNA (2599 nucleotides) under Sus scrofa (pig). RNAcentral's name for it is "lncRNA (ENSSSCG00035018721.1)". Lineage: Eukaryota; Metazoa; Chordata; Mammalia; Artiodactyla; Suidae. The record is from RNAcentral.